UGUGUGCUAGGCAACAGGCUUUCUCUCUCCCUUUUCUCAGAUACAGUGCAGAGAAUAAGUUGCUUUUAUUGUUAUUGUUUUGUUACUGUUUUAUAUGCAGGUUAAACACUUUAAGAUGAGAAAAGUUGAUCUCUGUCUGAGUUCUGAAGGGGCUGAAGUGAUCUUAGCUACAUCAAGUGAUGAAAAACACCCCCCUGAAAAUAUAAUUGAUGGGAAUCCAGAAACAUUUUGGACCACCACAGGAAUGUUUCCCCAAGAGUUCAUUGUUUGUUUUCACAAACGUGUGAAGAUUGAAAGGCUUGUAAUCCGUAGUUACUAUGUGCGGACCUUGAAGAUUGAAAAAAGCACCUCUAAAGAGCCAGUUGAUUUUGAGCAGUGGAUUGAAAGAGAUCUAGUACACACAGAGGGGCAACUUCAAAAUGAAGAGAUUAUGGUGGCUUCAGGAGAAUGGAGAAUGUCCCCAGAGGGCUCAGGUUAAUAACUCAAAAUUGCAGAGAAGAUGGAGCUGAAGGGGAAACCAGGCAAGACACAGCACAGGAGACUGCUGGAGGUGCAAUGGAAUGUCAUGGAGAUACAAAGCAAGGAUGGUGGAUAUUUGUUACAAUUUUGGCUGGCGAACUCCUAACCCUCCUUCCUACUUGGAAUUCACUAUUUUGUGUAAUAGCGAUGAUUGUGUAAUGUCGCCCUAUGGAAGACAGAGAGGCCAGGUCCAUUCUCUGUCCCCAGCAGCCAGGACACAGGCAGUGACCCAGGCUGGCUGAUUAGACCCUCCCACCCUCCCACCUAGAUCUUUGAUUUUGGAGUCAUGGAGAUGGCAGAAUUAAUCCACAGCCCUCUCAGGGAUGGCGGAGUCCUACAGCAAUGAUGAGUUCCCAUGGCAACCAAAGUGACAGCAGCAUCCGGGCCUAACUGUUGAUGCUAAAGGACAGUCCAGGCCCAGUGCUCCAGCUGUGGUUGAUUCUGGCGAUCCUGCAACACCUUUCUAAUAUGUCCUUUUGUAUAUGUAUGUGUGUAACAAAACUAGAAUGAGUUUAUGUUGCUUGCAAGCCAGAACCCUGACUGCUACAGUAGGGCUGUAUAAUGAAAAAUGAUCGUGUUUACACAGAUCACUUUGGCUACUCUAUGGGGAGAAGACUGAGGGUAAGAAUGGCAGUGGGGGAGAUGCAGUGAAGGGACGUGGGAGAAAUCCACAUGAGAGGUAAUGGGAGCGUGGGCUGGUGUGUGGGCAGUGGAGAAGGAAAAGCUGGAAUCCACAGGACUUGCUGAUUGAAGGGGAGUACAGGGCAUCUUAACUUGCUUGUGGUUUAUUUUUGGUUGGUUAUUCCCUCACCUACUUCUGAAAAGGAUUUGAUGCAGUUUACACAUAUAAUAAAAUACUAAAUAGAUAUUUUUAAAACAAAUCAUGCCCCUCUGGGAGGCAUAGAAAAGGAAGGAAAUGUAAAACAAAUAAAAAGGCCUUCAGGACCCUGCAUUUGUUAUAACUGAGCUAAUAGGACUCUGAGUGUCCUGGUGGACAAGUAAAAGGAGAAAGAAUUGGUUGUAUUUUCCUCAUUUUUCAGUACAUGAGAAGAAGCAGGCUGGUUUCCCUGGAGAUACAAAGUUCUCCUGUCCUUGGCUCAUAGAUUUUUCUCAUAGGAGGCCCUAGAGGGCACUGAGUGGGGCUCAGUCCCUGCUGGUUGAUUGCACAAGUCCUCACCCAUGUGACAGGGUUGCACAGGCCUUAGCAGGAGAGGCUUAAAGACGAGUUGUGGCCAAGUGGCUGGCCAUUGGCCUGCAAUGACCCCAGGGAGUCACCUUUUAAAGAAGACCUCAAAAGACUUAAGGUCAGGACCAGUGUUAAAUAUUAGCUGUCGGGAAUUUGUCUUUACAUGGAAAAAAAAAGAUUCACACAUACUGAUUAGGACCUUAAAAGAGACAGAGCCAUUUGUUUAUUUGUAGUGUGUAGAGUGCAGUGAUCAGUACUGAGGGCAAAGUUUAAACUCAGUUCCCUGCUUUCCUGGUAGCAGAGAGAGGAAAGAUAGGUGCAAGGGGUGGCAGUGCUGACACCUUGCCCGUGUCCCCAGGCCAUGGUGCAGAGAACACCAUUUUUUCCAAGAAUGUUGGGCAAGGAAUGUCAAGUCCAACUCGUCUGUACAAAUGGAAAAAACAGCUCUAUAAUAGCACUGGGUUCGACAAAUGGAAAAAACAGCUCUGUAAUAGCACUGGGUUCGAACCCACCAUCAUGACCCCCGGACCAGUAAAUUAACCCCCAUAUCAGGCUCUCUCACAGAGAAAGCCCAUUUAUAAUUACUACAUGACAUAAGUAGGCUUGGAGAGAUUUUAGAAGAUAUUAAACAAGGGCUGAAAUAAAUCUGGUUUCAGAUAAACGCUUAGGUACCUAUAAAAUAAAUCAUUAGACUUGCCUUCUACCACAGUACAUCAGUUAAUCAAUGUUUGCUGUGUGUAUCCGAGAACAUGUGUGUAUCAUGUGUGCGAAUGUACAUGCAGAGAAUAGGAGGUGGCUGAGAAUUUCUCUGAGCCUCUGUUGUCUUACCCAAUAACAGAAAGUGUACUAGCUGAGAGUCAGAAGGCAUAAAUUCUAGUUCUGACUCUCUAAGAAUUUGCUGUGUGACUCUGAGCAAGUAAUUGACCUCUCUCUCUAGGCCUUUGCAUCUAAAAAAAUGAAACAGUUGCUUUAGGUUGUCCAUAAAGAAUCUUCCAGACCUUUUAGACUGUGGCUCUAAAAUGAGUUCAAUUUUAUACCCAAAGCAUACAAGCAGAGCUUUUGAGUGGCCUAAUGGGUUCAAAAGCAGUUCCAGGAUAUCAUUCUCAUAAGCAGCAGCCCUGAUCAUGUCAACUCCUUGCUUGAAAAUCUCCUUAGAACUUACCCGUACCCUCAGAUAAAGCCUACUCUUCAGUAAGACACAUAAGGCCUCCCAAACUCUGGUCCCUGAUGGUGUCUCCAGCCUCAUCCUUCACCCAUUCCUGUCUCCCACACCCCACUUCUGCCAAACUGACCCAUGUUCCCUGUCUUGGACCUCUCCUACUCCUCCCCUAUGUCCUGCUCUGCUCCUGCUCCCCCUUCCCCAGCCCCCCUAAGGCUUCACUGUCCCUAAAAACUCAGCUCACCACCCUCUUCUCCAGGAAGCCUUCCUCUGACCACCUCCCUACCCCACCCCACUUCUUCUAGAGCCCCCUGACUCCCUCUCUCACUACACCAUCUCCCUCUUUGUGUUAUGUGAUCUUCUGGGGCAGAGACCAGGUGUGCUGAUUUCUGUACCACCAGCACCUAUUACUUCAGUGGACUCUAAGUCAAUGUGCUGAAAACCAACUCUAUUUCAUAAACAGAGUUUUCUUUUGCAUCUCGGGCUCCUUCUCUCUUCUUUCUUCAGUCUCAGGUGCAACAGCAGGGAACAGAAACCAACAGAACAGUCUUUAAAAUGUAAAUUGGUUCACUGAAAGUAAACAAUUAAAAGAAGCAAGUAAAUUCUGUGAAUUGACCAUGAUGCAAGUUGGCCUUCAUGGAACUGAUUGCUAGAUGAUUGAUAUUCAGCCAGUUGGCCUGGUUGUCACAGUCCUUGAAACAUAGUGGAUGCACAAUAAAAGUUAUUUGUUAUUCUCA
This is an RNA transcript of Hipposideros armiger (great roundleaf bat), 3601 nucleotides long. It is a transcript of the gene named intraflagellar transport 25, with no coding region annotated. The record is from RefSeq and is a predicted model, not a curated record. The transcript has 6 exons. Lineage: Eukaryota; Metazoa; Chordata; Mammalia; Chiroptera; Hipposideridae.